CGGACGGGUGUAGCACGCUUCCUGUGUACUCGCGUGAAACCCAUUCAAACUGUUCUACAUGGAAAAAAUGAGAAAUGCAGAAACUAAGGCACAGGAUGGUGCAGUGAUUUGUCCGAGGUCACCCAGUAAACCAGUGACAGAGCACAGAAUAGAAUCCAGUUCUCCUGGGUCCCAGUCCAGUGAUCUGACCAUUAGGCCAUGCUUCCAGCUGGGGUAUUGCUUGUGUCCAGCCUUGUAACAUGUGAGCAAUCGAUGGGAUAGGAGUGAUGCAAUUCACCACUAACCACUGCAGAAUGGGACCACAGGAGUUUAACUCACUCAGAUUAAACACUAUAUGAUGUUACCAGAAGAAAUGCUGAUUAAAGGUGCCUUUUGUUCAGUACAUGAUUUAAAAGGUGACUCAAAAACCUGCCCUUGUCAU
Gopherus evgoodei (Goodes thornscrub tortoise) is the source of this 421-nucleotide long non-coding RNA. RefSeq lists it as uncharacterized. The transcript is spliced from 3 exons. The record is from RefSeq and is a predicted model, not a curated record. Lineage: Eukaryota; Metazoa; Chordata; Testudines; Testudinidae.